CUGCCAUUUAGGAGUUAAAUCCCUUUGUUUAUGAACCCUAGUCACACCUCCCUGCAUGUGACUUGCACAGCCUUCCAUAAACACUUCCUGUAAAGAGAGCCCUAUUUAGGCUUUCUUUAUUGCAAGUUCUGUUUAAUUAAGAUUUUCUUAUCCCCUGCUAUGUUAAUAGCUUGCUAGACCCUGCAAGAGCCUCCUGUAUGUGAUUAAAGUUCAAUUUAGAGAUUGAGAUACAAUUAUUUAAGGUAAAUUACAUCUGUUUGAAAGUGAAACCAGUUUUUUUUUUUUUUCAUGCAGGCUCUGUCAAUCAUAGCCAGGGGAGGUGUGGCUAGGGCUGCAUAAACAGAAACAAAGUGAUUUAACUCCCAAAUGACAGUGAAUUGAGCAGUGAAAUUGCAGGGGAAUGAUCUAUACACUAAAACUGCUUUAUUUAGCUAAAGUAAUUUAGGGGACUAUAGUGUUCCUUUAAA
This is a non-coding RNA of Pelobates cultripes (western spadefoot toad), 467 nucleotides long. The record is from the annotation of a GenBank genome assembly. NCBI's taxonomy places the organism in Eukaryota, Metazoa, Chordata, Amphibia, Anura, Pelobatidae.